GUGGGGCAUGCUACAAUUAAUAUUUGCACUCUCGACAGAGUCUGAGGUUUGUGGUCUGGUCCUGACCCUGCCUUCACUGCCUUGAACUCAGUAAGCUCAGCUGGCUCCUGCCUGUUCUUGCCUUCCCUUAGACCUUCUGUGAUCAUUUUCUUUCCUCUCUGUGUGUAUGUGUAUGCCCAUGUGUCCAUGCGUGUUCAUGUGGGGUCACAUGUAUACACCUCAAUGUGGAAGCAGAGGUUGAGAUUUGUGAGUCAGCUCUCUUCUUCCAUUGUGUGUGUUCUGUGGAUCAGACUCGGGCUGUCAGAUGCAGUGGCAACUCCUUCCCCUGCGGAGCUGCUUCCUGCCUCUGCAGUGCUCUUUGCUGCUUUUGCUUUUAGUGUUACACUUCAGUGUCAUGAAACUUACUUCCUGUUUUCUUCUACAAGUUCAUUUGUUUGUUUUUUUGAGACAGAGUCUCUCUGUGGUCCUUGUCAUCCUGGUUACUAUGUAGACCUGGCUGUCCUAGAAUGUAUGUUCUUCUGCUUCUGCCUCCCCAGUACUGGGGACUAAAUGCAUGUACCACCAUGCCUAGCCUUUCCAAGAGUUUUAUAGGUCUUACAAUUAAAUCUUUGUCCUACUUUGAGUUAAUUUUCAUGUAUGAUUAAAGUAAGGAUCAGUUGUUCAGAUACCAUUUGUAAAGAGACCAUCAGUUUCCCUUUAGGGUGUUAACAAUUUUUUUUAAAGAUUUAUUUAUUAUAUAUAAGUACACUGUAGCUGUCUUCAGACACACCAGAAGAGGGUGUCAGAUCUCAUUACAGAUGGUUGUGAGCCAUCAUGUUGGUUGCUGGGAAUUGAACUCAGGACCUUCGAAAGAGCAGUCUGUGCUUUUAACUGCUGAGCCAACUCUCCAGCCCCAACAAUUUUUUUUUUAUUAUUCCUUGUAUUUAUCAGGAGACCGGGGAGGGGGAGCAUGCAUGCCAGGACAUGUAUGUGAAGGUUCCAGGAUAAGUUCUUCUCUUCCACCAUGUGGGUCCUGAGUAUCAAACUCUACCACCAAGCUUGGCAUCAAGUACCUUCACCCACUGAACCACCUCUCUAUCCCCUUGGUUUUAGGACCCUAAAAAAUAGAUUGGGGGUUCUGGAGAGAUGGCUUGAUGGUUAAUAGCACUGGCUGCUAUACCAGAGUAUCCUGGUUCAAUUCCUAGUACCCACAUGGCAGCUCACAACUGUGUGUGGCUCUGGUUCCAGGGGAUCUGACACCUUCACACAGACACAACAACAAUGCAC
This 1266-nucleotide long non-coding RNA is filed under the name Mus musculus (house mouse). RNAcentral's name for it is "long non-coding RNA chr9:57584844-57586110". Lineage: Eukaryota; Metazoa; Chordata; Mammalia; Rodentia; Muridae. The record is from RNAcentral.